This is a long non-coding RNA of Ornithorhynchus anatinus (platypus), 316 nucleotides long. RefSeq lists it as uncharacterized. The transcript has 3 exons. NCBI's taxonomy places the organism in Eukaryota, Metazoa, Chordata, Mammalia, Monotremata, Ornithorhynchidae. The record is from RefSeq and is a predicted model, not a curated record.
GUGCGUUGAUGAUGGUGAUGAUGAUGAUGAUGGAGUCUCCAGCGGGAAACAACGGCUGAGCCUUGGCGGAGUCCCAGUGGGAAGGAAUUGAUUAGCGAGCCAGUGGUUUGCAUGGUGCCACUCACUCUCCUGUCCUUACCUAUCGUGUUGCCACCGGGGUCCAAAAUGCAAUGGGCACAUCAAAAGAAAAGAAGCAAAAUGAGAAGGAAUCUUCAACUGAAUGUGCUGAAAAGAGUUAGUGAAGCCAGUUUGCUAAGGGCUAGCUGAACAUUAGAGCAAUGAAAACAGAGGAAGUCCUUGGGAGAUACAUAAACAG